This 68-nucleotide transfer RNA is filed under the name Anser anser anser (western graylag goose). RNAcentral's name for it is "tRNA-Glu". The record is from RNAcentral. RNAcentral also lists the same sequence under 7 other names. Lineage: Eukaryota; Metazoa; Chordata; Aves; Anseriformes; Anatidae.
UAUUCCUGCCCGGACACUACCCGAGGCCUGCGGCUCGAAAAGCCGCCAUUGUUCUCAACUACAGGAAC